Esox lucius (northern pike) is the source of this 5222-nucleotide long non-coding RNA. NCBI's taxonomy places the organism in Eukaryota, Metazoa, Chordata, Actinopteri, Esociformes, Esocidae. The record is from Ensembl.
GUUUAUUGGCCCAUAAACGUAAUUCAGGGUGAGGAACUAACUAACAUCAAAUUAAAAAAGUGAAAUUCUCCUUUAAUGGUCUUGGGUUAAUGAGUGAAGUUUUUUGUCAGGCCAGUGAAGUUCGGAAAAAGAAAAGCUGCUCAGCAGGGAAGCCAAUAACUCCUUGGCACCCCUCCUCUCAUUCCUCAGUUUGAUCAUAGGUCUAAAAGACUAUAGACAGAAGACAAUGAAGAGGAAUAUGAAGCACCUGCAAUACUAUCAAUUUCUAUUCUGCUACCUUCUGCUGACUAUCAAAGAUCAUGCACUCUGUGUCAAAGAAAUCACAAUUACUCCGGCUGAACCACAUGUCAAGCUGGGAGAUGCUGUGACCCUAACCUGUGAAACAACCUGUGAAGGCAAACCACAGUGGAAGCAACUAGACGACAGUGAUGCUGAAAUCACUUUCGAUGGGAAAAAAAGUUUUCUAAAGAUUGCAGCUGUACAGCUGGAUCACCAACAAACAUAUACCUGCACUGUGGCCAAAUGUCUUACACGGAAGAAGGAAUCAGUCAAGCUCAUCGUUGACAGUCUUUCCACAGAAGGAGUAGAUGUUGAGGUCAUUAGCAUUACGAAAAAAGAUACCAGAGUUACCCCAGAUCCUUUAAAAACAACAGUUAAGGCUGAUGUACUUCCAGUUCACACCACAGAAAACCCAACAGAGAUGUUGCCAACAACGACAUGGCCCGCUACUAUUAAUGCACUUAAGGAAAAAGGAAUAGAUGUUGAGGUCAGUAGCAUUACAAAAAAGCUACCAGAGGUUGCGUCCACAUCAUUUCUCCCUACCAAAACAAGAGAUCCACAAGUGGAAGAUCCUUCAAAAACAACAAUCAAGACUGAUAUAUUUCCAGUUCACACCACAGAAAAUCUAACAAAAAUGUUGCCAACAACAUUACUGCCCACCACUAUUAAUCAUCUAAAAGACAGUCUUUCCACAGAAGGAAUAGAUGUUGAGGUCAGUAGCAUUACAAAAAAGCUACCAGAGGUUGCGUCCACAUCAUUUCUCCCUGCCAAAACAAGAGAUCCACAAGUGGAAGAUCCUUCAAAAACAACAAUCAAGACUGAUAUAUUUCCAGUUCACACCACAGAAAAUCUAACAAAAAUGUUGCCAACAACAUUACUGCCCACCACUAUUAAUCAUCUAAAAGACAGUCUUUCCACAGAAGGAAUAGAUGUUGAGGUCAGUAGCAUUACAAAAAAGCUACCAGAGGUUGCGUCCACAUCAUUUCUCCCUACCAAAACAAGAGAUCCACAAGUAGAAGAUCCUUCAAAAACAACAAUCAAGGCUGAUAUAUUUCCAGUUCACACUACAGAAAAUAUAACUAAAAUGUUGCCAACAACAUUACUGCCCACCACUAUUAAGCCUCUGAAAGACACAGCAGGGGCAGCUUCCAGCUCCACUAUAAUGGCCAUGGCUGUAGUGGGCUCAGUGGCAACUCUCUCAUUCCUGGGAUUCUUGAUUCACCUGAUCCGCCGGAAGAAACGCAAGUUGUCCCCUAAUGACAUGUAGAACCACCUGGAUGACUGCUGACCAAAAUUGCAUCAGCUUCAUCUCAUUUCAAGCUUUUUUUGUCCAAUAUAUUUAAUGCUAUUAUAACACUCCUUCAUACAGCUUUCCCUGCAUCAGCUUAAACCUAAUAUAAUACACUGAUCAAAAAAAUUUAAGGAACACUUAAAUCAUACAUCGGGUCUCGAUGAACGACAUAUGUUAAAGAUCAUAACCUUUACUGUACAUUGUGUAAUUAUCACGGUCGUAGGUAUGCAUGAUAUGUGGCGCAGAGCGAGUAAAGGGAAACAUCCUUUUAUUAUAACGCAAAAAAUAACAAAAGGAGAGGCAAACCUAACACAAACAAUGAUCCACAAGUGAAAAGUCCAAAAGGGAAACUUAAAUAGGGUCCCCAAUUAGAGGCAACAUGCGGCAGCUGCUGCCUCUCAAUCACCAACCGAUUGAGGGCUGGAUUCAAACUGAAAAUCAAAGUAAACAACUAAAAUCACAGGCUGUUCCAACUUAAUGUGACUCAUAAUGUGACCCAGUAGUGUGUGCCUGUAUGCAAUGCCGACAAUGUCUGGGCGUGCUCCUGAUGAGAUGGCGGAUGGUGUCCUUGGUGAUCUCCUCCCAGACCUGGAUCAGGGCAUCAGUGAACUCCUGGACAGUCUGUGGCACUACUUGAUAGGAUUCAGGUCUGGGAUUCAGGUCUGAGAACGUGAAACCGGUAAUGCUAGAUGAUGUUGUAAGCAACGUUCACCACAGCGUCUCCAGACUCUUUCAUGUCUGUCACGUGCUCAAUUUGAACCUGUGCUCAUCUGGGAAAAGAAUGUAACGCCAAUGGCGGACCUGCCAAUUCUGGUGUUCUCUAGUGAAUGCCAAUCGAACUGCAUGGUGCUGGGCUGUGAGCAUAGGUCCCACUAGAGGACGUCAGACCCUCAAGCCACCCUCAUGGAGUCUGUUUCUGACAAUUUGGUCAGAAAUAUGCACACAUUAGCCUGCUGGAAGUCUGGCUCUGGCAGUGCUCCUCCUGUUCCUCCUCACACAAAGGAGCAGGUACCGGUCCUGCUGCUGGUUUGAUGCUCUUCUAUGGCCCUGUACAGCUCUCCCCGUGUAACGGCUCGUCUCCUGGUAUCUCCUCCAUGUUCUUGAGACUGUACUGUGAGACACAGCAAACCUUCUUGCGACGGCACGUAUGGAUUUGCUAUUCUGGAAGAGCUGGACUGCCUGUGCAACCCGAGUGGGCUGUAGGUACCGCCACAUGCUACCAGUAGUGACAACCACACUAGCAAAAUGCAAAAAUAAAGAAGAAUCAGUCAGGAAGGAUAAGGAGAGAGCAAUUGUCUGUUGCCACCACCUGCAAACCAUUCCCUUUUUGGGGGUUGUCUAGCCGUUGCCUCUCCAGUAAACCUGUUGUCUCUUUCAUUUGCACCAAUGCAGUGACAUUGAUUCACAAUUGAUAUCCCUCAAAUUCACUUGGUGUUAUACUGUGAUGAUUGUGUUCCCUUAAUUUUUUAGCAGUGUAUUUGCUAUGGUACUACCUGAUAAAAUUAAGGACAAUGUACAAAGAAUGACACCCAAGAAGAACAGUCUAAUUUGGAAAAAAAUAUGUAACUAACAUGAAGUUUGAUUAAUAUCAUAUCCAUAUAAAAAGAAAAAUAUAGCAACAUUUUUGAUUUCCUGAGGUUUAUUUUAAAUAGACAUUCCUGUUUAGGUAUUUCUGUUGUGAUGUUAACUUUUUUUAUACAUUUCAUUAUACACCGAUGCAGGAGCGUCACCAGACCUGGGCUUUCAUUUAAUUCUACAUGUUAUAUUUUUAAGUGGAACAUUAUAUCAAAUAGACAUGACUAAAUGGCAUCUGUAGCAACAUUACCAUGAAAAAGCCUAAAUAAGUUAAUAAAGCAUGUGAAUUUAAACACAAACAGUAAUUUCUACUACUACUUGUUUUCUUUUGUUUUUUGCAUACACUGUGGUAUAAGCGGGACAGACCUUUUUCUGUAACAUCACCUUGGCAAAAAUGAACUCCUUCCAUUCCAUUGUCUGAUGCAACUAGAAUCCUGCAGGAAUGUCAUCUGUUGUGAAGGAAUCAUGCAGGUGUCCUGCAGGAAUCCUGAAGGAUUGACCUUGAUGAGAGAUUAUCCUGCAGAAAUCCAGAGAAUAUUGCACAACCCUGAAAAUUCAUGCAGGAAUCAAAAUCCUGCAGACUUCUAAAUUCCUGCAGGAUAUGACGAUCCCUGCAGGAAUAAAAAUUCCUGAAAAUGAAUAUUCUAGCAUGAAUCACACUGUAUAUUUUAAUAAACAAGCUGGAUAUGGCAAUUCCUGCUGGACUAAAACCGUCAGGAUUUAGAUUUUCCUGCAGGACAUGUGAAAAUGUGAAUUCCUGACAAUUUCUGUCAUCUGCUCAUACUAGUCAUGUAAUAUUAAGUAUUUAAUAUCUUGCAGGUGGAUUUCAGUCACACUAAGUAGAAGCAAUAGAUUCUGGGCUAGUAUUUUUUAUUGUCUCACUCAGAAUUUGAAACAAGCACAAGAUACUUUUAGAAAACGUUUUAAAAACAGCCAUGUAACAAUACAUGAUGUAAUAACACCGCAUUAUGUAAUAACUUGACCAAAUGUAAUACAUUUUCAAUUCAUUUUGUAAUAACACCCACAUUUUUACUAAUCUGCUUCAUUUGUAAUAAUCAGCUUGAAAGCAAUUUGUACUAAAUGUCCCCGCAUUUUGUAACAAAUUAUUACAUUAUGUGGUGAUUAUUACAAAAUGUGGGAGUUGGACUUAUAAAAAAUGAAAAUGUAAUUAUAUAGUGCAUUAUGUAAUACCCAGCCAAAUUGGAUGUCUUCAUUCAUGAAAAUCGUAAUAACAUAAACAACAAUGUUUACUUUAUGCAUACUAGCAUGAAUCCUUCAUUUGAAAAGAUACUGCCUAUCACCUGAAGUAUUGUAUCUUUCAUUGAUCAAAACUACAUCAAGUGUCACUGCAUUCCUUAGCUUAAUAGAAACUGUACUUCACAGCAUUGUACUUCAGAGGGUUCAACUGCACAACACUCAAGUGUUAUACUGACACAAACAAAGUAUUGGUAUAAACACAAAUGUCAGCAAAUGUUGGCUAUACAUGAAAAGUCAAAAAAUUGUUGCUCAACAAGACCAAUAUGGAACAGUCCUUUAUUCCCUGAAUCCCCAAUUACGGUAUAUUUAGGCAAAGAAUAUGUACCACACUGCAAAGACGUUCCUAGACGUUCCUAGCACUUAUUUUAACCCCCCCUAAAUAAUUUCACUAUGUGAAGAAAAUGGACGUGAAGCAUGAGAGCAUGUGAAAAGUUUUAAUUCUGCAAGUCUCACGGAGACAAUGCAUGAGAGUUGACGACCCUGAUGAUCACUUGGUACAUUUAUGUAGGACUUUCUAACAGGUCUGGGCCCGGUUUCCCAAAGCAGUAAGUGACUUGUUAUGUUAUCAGUGCGUUUCCCGAAAGCAUCAUUACUUAGUAGGCACAUAAUAUAGUCAUUCAUUAAUGAGUGCUCUGGACCACUCGUUGGUCCAUCGUAACAGGCACUUAACUGUUUUUGUGAAAUAGCGCCUCCCUCAACAUGCGAGGAGUGAUUGCAAACUAUUAAUAUUGUAGCGAACCACAUGGGCUGAAGGCAUAGUGACUGAAUGUGCCCUAUUGAGUUCUAGGUUUAUUGAGUUGUUACGGUAAUCAGAAGGGGG